GGAGUAUUAUCUUCAGUAUAAAAUAUAAGCAUUUCCAUCGCAAUUCAUAAUAGAAUUUGUCUUAUCAAUCACUUAACAUUUAAAUUUUUUGUCAUCUUACAUUCAUCUAGACAUCUACAAUGCUAGCUCUAUUUAUUCUAUGUUUACUCGAGAUAGAGCGAUUAACGUUAAAGUCUUUUAUUCUUAGCAUAUUAUUCUUGGUCUUAUGCUGAACAAUUUGAAAAUAUUUAUAAUUUGUAGCAGAUGGAGUAAGUCUUAAGAGUUUUGUUGAUCAAUAAAACUGGCAACCAUGCACCACCUUCUUCAAAGAAAGCCAGGCUUUUGAAAGACCACACUUAGGGCACUAACAAAUGGCUCUCAUUACCGUCUCUGUCGCUGGUAUCGAACGGAAAAAAUGCGAACGAGUAAUUAAUUAGUCUUUUUUAGAGAAAUGUAUUUUACCCGACCUCUGCUCCUAUGAAGAUUUGAACCCAGGACCUCGGGUGUUACUCAGGUCACUAUAACCACUAGGCUACAUGCCCU
This 522-nucleotide long non-coding RNA is filed under the name Oryza brachyantha (malo sina). RNAcentral's name for it is "long non-coding RNA (OBRA_LNC002090)". The record is from RNAcentral. Lineage: Eukaryota; Viridiplantae; Streptophyta; Magnoliopsida; Poales; Poaceae.